AGAGUUUGAUUCAUGGCUCAGGAUGAACGCUAGCGGGAGGCCUAACACAUGCAAGCCGAGCGGUAUUGUUUCUUCGGAAAUGAGAGAGCGGCGUACGGGUGCGGAACACGUGUGCAACCUGCCUUUAUCUGGGGGAUAGCCUUUCGAAAGGAAGAUUAAUACCCCAUAACAUAUUGAGUGGCAUCACUUAAUAUUGAAAACUCCGGUGGAUAGAGAUGGGCACGCGCAAGAUUAGAUAGUUGGUGAGGUAACGGCUCACCAAGUCAAUGAUCUUUAGGGGGCCUGAGAGGGUGAUCCCCCACACUGGUACUGAGACACGGACCAGACUCCUACGGGAGGCAGCAGUGAGGAAUAUUGGACAAUGGGUGAGAGCCUGAUCCAGCCAUCCCGCGUGAAGGACGACGGCCCUAUGGGUUGUAAACUUCUUUUGUAUAGGGAUAAACCUUUCCACGUGUGGAAAGCUGAAGGUACUAUACGAAUAGCACCGGC
This 489-nucleotide ribosomal RNA is filed under the name Flavobacteriaceae bacterium JJ-2916. RNAcentral describes it as "bacterial SSU rRNA". It matches the Rfam family "Bacterial small subunit ribosomal RNA", at positions 8 to 497 of the family's 1533-position model. The record is from RNAcentral. Lineage: Bacteria; Pseudomonadati; Bacteroidota; Flavobacteriia; Flavobacteriales; Flavobacteriaceae.